Molecule: ribosomal RNA, 524 nt
Filed under: uncultured bacterium
Lineage: Bacteria
Description: bacterial SSU rRNA
Rfam family: Bacterial small subunit ribosomal RNA
Source: RNAcentral
AGAGUUUGAUCAUGGCUCAGGAUGAACGCUAGCGGCAGGCUUAAUACAUGCAAGUCGUGGGGUAAAUAAGGGUAGCAAUAUCCUUAUGAGACCGGCAAACGGGUGCGUAACGCGUACGCAAUCUACCUUCAACUGGAGGACAGCCCAUCGAAAGAUGGAUUAAUACUCCGUAAUGUUAUCGAAAGGCAUCUUUUGAUAUCUAUAGCUCCGGCGGUUGAAGAUGAGCGUGCGUCCCAUUAGGUAGUUGGUAGGGUAACGGCCUACCAAGCCAGCGAUGGGUAGCUGGCGUGAGAGCGCGACCAGCCACACGGGCACUGAGACACGGGCCCGACUCCUACGGGAGGCAGCAGUAAGGAAUAUUGGUCAAUGGACGCAAGUCUGAACCAGCCAUGCCGCGUGAAGGAUUAAGGCCCUCAGGGUUGUAAACUUCUUUUAUUUGGGAAGAAACCCUCUGAUUCUUCGGAGGUUGACGGUACCAGAUGAAUAAGCACCGGCUAACUCCGUGCCAGCAGCCGCGGUAAUAC